This is a long non-coding RNA of Ictalurus furcatus (blue catfish), 1229 nucleotides long. RefSeq lists it as uncharacterized. The record is from RefSeq and is a predicted model, not a curated record. The transcript is spliced from 3 exons. Lineage: Eukaryota; Metazoa; Chordata; Actinopteri; Siluriformes; Ictaluridae.
ACAAAGUACAGAGCUCACUUAUCAUACCUAGCAGCUCUAAGAGUACAAAUGAGAGUAUAAAAUACCACUUUUUUUUCAGCCCUUUGGUUGUUAUUAAGUGUUUCAGGCUGUCCCUUUACAUGAAAGUCAAACCAACGUGACAGCCUAUUUGCAUCUGUGUUUUUAUCGUACAGCUGACAGGAAGAGCUGUAGCCUGGGAGGUAGUUGUUUCUUCUUCUAUAAGAAAACUGCUUAAUGAACACUGAUGAGGAUGUGCAUCUGCUUUACCCUUCAUGCCCUCUCUUCAAAGAAACAGGCAAGGAACAAAAUAGUCGAGGAAACAGGCUUUGCUUUAAUGUCUAUUUUCCUAGGAAAUCCUGCUGAAGGCUUACAGAAAUCGCUCUGGGGGGAAAAAAAUCGCUAUUGUCAGAAUCUGCCUGUCAGAAUCACCCUGGUACAUGUGACUUGCUGACCUACAUAUACAAAUCUACAUGUACACAUUACAAAAUAAAAUCAUCACCUAUGGUCUAAGAGGUGGCAGACAAGAGGUGCAGGAGGUCCUGGAGGAGAACUCUCUUCUCUCAGGUGGGCCUCACAGUGUGUGAUAGGCUGAAUGCAGAUCUGUGACUCCACAAGCUGGUGUAAAACCUGAGGAUCCACGUUAUAUCAAAUCCAUUGCCGUGUCAUCUGAUCACAUGCUUCAGUGGAAGGGAUGAGACUCAAAGAAAAUCUGAUCUUUUGUACAAAGGAGUUAACUUGGUCAAUAUCACAAAUUUGCUUAAAAAAAGAAUCCCAACUUUUCAAUGUUCUCUCAGACUUUUUGACCCCAGUGUACAUUCAUGUUAGAAACAGGAAACAUUUUCUGAUAUCAAAACGUCUCUUUCUCGUUCACUUUUAGUUCAUAUAUCUGCAUGCUGGUCCUCAUUAAUGUUUUUCUGCACUUUGUCCUGAUCUGCAUACUGGAGUUUCUUUACAGUGCCUAUACAGUCCCAGCAGGCAUUAUGCCUGUUUUCCCUCAUCCCAGAAACAGCCACUCAGAAAGUCCUUUGCACUUGUAUGUUUUAUUAUAUAAUAGGCCCUGGCCUGCUCCUACAUAAGUCUUGAUGUGUACCAUAUGUUGAAAGCGAUCCUUCACUGCUAUGAUCCAGGAUGAAAACACAAUCAUAGCUCGUCAGAGCUCCCCCUCAGACAAACAGAAUAUAGCUGUUCGGACUAUGACAUCCUAAAACAGAGAACCUGAAAUCUGGGCA